RNA transcript from Prunus persica (peach), 1161 nucleotides. RefSeq lists it as uncharacterized. Lineage: Eukaryota; Viridiplantae; Streptophyta; Magnoliopsida; Rosales; Rosaceae. The transcript has a single exon. The record is from RefSeq and is a predicted model, not a curated record.
GGACAAAAUGAGAUUCAAAUGCAAAUGAAAUGAAUUAUUGGGUUCGCUUGUGGGGGGGCCUUGCCAAAUGGAAAUGCUCUCUAUAUAUACACUUGACCAGCCCUCCAAAGCCCAGCUUUAUGCGUAAGCCAAUAUAAUAAAUAAUUUAAAUGGAGCUGUGAAAUUGGGUUUCGUGGGUUUUUUCCUUUCCUCAAUUGGGUCGCCGGGAAUUAUCGAUUCCGUCGUGGGAAUCUGAUUGAUUAUGACAUAUGGCGAAGGGCCGGAAACUGACGCAGAGCCGCAGCGAACGGUUGCUCGGAAGCUACAGCAGCUACAGCCACGCUCAUGACUCGCCGGAGCUCGGCGAAGACGACGUCUGGUCGACGGUGAACACCGUGGACGAAAGGGAAGACCCCGAAAUCGAAAAUUCGCACGGAGAUUGGAGCCCACGCGCCUCCGCUGAGACAAACGGGGGCGUCUCGUCGAGGAGGAGCCGCCGAAUUGCACGGGAAGACGGAAACGUGGGUGGCCUGUCAUUGGCUUUUGACGAUUCCGGAAAAACGGCGUCAUCACCUAGGAUCGUGCACCAGUUCCGCGGACACGACAGCGUGGCGUCCCCACGUGUGCACCACAUGGCCACGUCAGCUCCCGUGAACGUGCCGGACUGGAGCAAGAUUCUCCGGGUCGACUCGGUGGACUCCCUGUACGAGUUGGACGAGAGUUGGAUGGGAAUGACUCGGAGAUUAUCCCGCCACACGAGUACCUAGCGCGUGAAUACACGCGCGGCGCGACGUCGGUUUUCGAAGGCGUCGGGCGGACCCUGAAGGGCUGGGACAUGCGGCGGGUAAGGGACGCGGUGUGGAGCCGGACCGGGUUUGAUGGUUAAUUGUGAUUAGUGUUAGGAUUAGAAAGGGAGUUUUAUUGUUAAAAAUGAUUGGAUUUGGGAAGACGUGGUAGUGGAGAUUUUAAUCUGAUUGUUGUGAAAUGGUAUUUUUGCACUGGGCAAUGAUUCAGCUGAGUUAAUAGCCUCGGUUGCGAGUGAGCCCAAUUUGCCCAAACAUUUGAAUUCUGAAUUGGGGAUUGGAUUGAGGUCCUUCUUUGGUCUUUUUCUGUCGUGGGUUGAAUUUUGGAAAUCAAUUUGUCUUAGUUGGUAAUAUAAUUUGGUAAUUUAUGAGCUUCCGG